UCAUGUUUCUGUGUGGUCCUCACCUC
This 26-nucleotide non-coding RNA is filed under the name Homo sapiens (human). The record is from RNAcentral. Lineage: Eukaryota; Metazoa; Chordata; Mammalia; Primates; Hominidae.